Molecule: ribosomal RNA, 168 nt
Filed under: uncultured bacterium
Lineage: Bacteria
Description: partial 16S ribosomal RNA
Rfam family: Bacterial small subunit ribosomal RNA
Source: RNAcentral
CCUACGGGAGGCAGCAGUGGGGAAUAUUGGACAAUGGGCGAAAGCCUGAUCCAGCCAUGCCGCGUGUGUGAAGAAGGUCUUCGGAUUGUAAAGCACUUUAAGCUGGGAGGAAGGGCAGUAAGUUAAUACCUUGCUGUUUUGACGUUACCAGCAGAAUAAGCACCGGCU